Molecule: ribosomal RNA, 433 nt
Filed under: uncultured bacterium
Lineage: Bacteria
Description: partial 16S ribosomal RNA
Rfam family: Bacterial small subunit ribosomal RNA
Source: RNAcentral
AACGAACGCUGGCGGCAUGCCUAACACAUGCAAGUCGAACGAUCCCUUCGGGGGUAGUGGCGCACGGGUGCGUAACGCGUGGGAACCUGCCCUUAGGUUCGGAAUAACUCAGAGAAAUUUGAGCUAAUACCGGAUAAUGUCUUCGGACCAAAGAUUUAUCGCCUUUGGAUGGGCCCGCGUUGGAUUAGCUAGUUGGUGGGGUAAAGGCCUACCAAGGCGACGAUCCAUAGCUGGUCUGAGAGGAUGAUCAGCCACACUGGGACUGAGACACGGCCCAGACUCCUACGGGAGGCAGCAGUGGGGAAUAUUGGACAAUGGGCGAAAGCCUGAUCCAGCAAUGCCGCGUGAGUGAUGAAGGCCUUAGGGUUGUAAAGCUCUUUUACCCGGGAUGAUAAUGACAGUACCGGGAGAAUAAGCCCCGGCUAACUCCGUG